Molecule: ribosomal RNA, 470 nt
Filed under: uncultured bacterium
Lineage: Bacteria
Description: bacterial SSU rRNA
Rfam family: Bacterial small subunit ribosomal RNA
Source: RNAcentral
GCUACCUGCAGUCGAGCGGUAGCACAGGAGAGCUUGCUCUCCGGGUGACGAGCGGCGGACGGGUGAGUAAUGUCUGGGAAACUGCCUGAUGGAGGGGGAUAACUACUGGAAACGGUAGCUAAUACCGCAUAACGUCGCAAGACCAAAGAGGGGGACCUUCGGGCCUCUUGCCAUCAGAUGUGCCCAGAUGGGAUUAGCUAGUAGGUGGGGUAACGGCUCACCUAGGCGACGAUCCCUAGCUGGUCUGAGAGGAUGACCAGCCACACUGGAACUGAGACACGGUCCAGACUCCUACGGGAGGCAGCAGUGGGGAAUAUUGCACAAUGGGCGCAAGCCUGAUGCAGCCAUGCCGCGUGUAUGAAGAAGGCCUUCGGGUUGUAAAGUACUUUCAGCGGGGAGGAAGGUGUUGAGGUUAAUAACCUCAGCAAUUGACGUUGCCCGCAGAAGAAGCGCCGGCUAACUCCGUGCCA